AGUGAACGCUGGCGGUAGGCCUAACACAUGCAAGUCGAACGGCAGCACAGUAAGAGCUUGCUCUUACGGGUGGCGAGUGGCGGACGGGUGAGGAAUACAUCGGAAUCUACUUUUUCGUGGGGGAUAACGUAGGGAAACUUACGCUAAUACCGCAUACGACCUACGGGUGAAAGCAGGGGAUCUUCGGACCUUGCGCGAUUGAAUGAGCCGAUGUCGGAUUAGCUAGUUGGCGGGGUAAAGGCCCACCAAGGCGACGAUCCGUAGCUGGUCUGAGAGGAUGAUCAGCCACCCGGGAACUGAGACACGGUCCAGACUACUACGGGACGGAGCAGUGGGGAAUAUUGGGCAAUGGGCGCGAGCCUGGUCCAGCCAUACCGCGUGGGUGAAGAAGGCCUUCGGGUUGUAAAGCCCUUUUGUUGGGAAAGAAAAGCAGCAGGUUAAUACCCCGCUGUUCUGACGGUACCCAAAGAAUAAGCACCGGCUAACUUCGUG
RNAcentral lists this ribosomal RNA (492 nucleotides) under uncultured bacterium. Its description in RNAcentral is "partial 16S ribosomal RNA". It matches the Rfam family "Bacterial small subunit ribosomal RNA", at positions 29 to 507 of the family's 1533-position model. The record is from RNAcentral.